UUAAUUGAAGCCAAAAAGAGGCAUUUCACUGUUAAUGAUUGAAAUGGGAAAUUUACCCCAAUUAAA
This 66-nucleotide transfer RNA is filed under the name Platypalpus longicornis. Its description in RNAcentral is "tRNA-Asn". Lineage: Eukaryota; Metazoa; Arthropoda; Insecta; Diptera; Hybotidae. The record is from RNAcentral.